CUUGCUCUCAAGAACCUUAGAGUCUAAUGCUGGAAGCAACAUGAAAACAGCUAUGUACAAAAAAGAGAGAGAGCAAAAUUUGGAGCUAAUCAGUUGAGAAAAAGGAACUAGAAUUAAGGGAGACUGGGGAAAGUUUCUUAAUGAAGCUUGGAUUUUAGUGGGGUCUUGAAGAAAGCCAGGGAAGACAGAAGGAGAUGAGGAGGGAGAGCAUUCCUGGCAUGGGUGACAGCCAAAGAAAAGGUCCAGGGCUAAAAGGUGGAGUAUUUUGUAAGAGGAACAUCCAGGAGGCAGGUGUCCCUGGACUGAUGAGGUUGAAUAAAGUGUAAGGUAUAAGAAGACUAGCCUGAUGGUAUGGAAGGAGAUGGAAGUCAAAUUUGUACAUCAGAAGAUGGAAGUCCCCCUUUUGACUGAUUUUCCUCUUCUUCCCUCAAGGGACAGAUGCAGCAGUAGAUGGAAGGCUUAAGGUCAAAAAGAAGGUUGCCUCUCUUUGCACUGGAGUCUUUCCACAUCCCUGGUUGGAGAUCAGGAGGCACCUGGUGAAGAUAAAAGUCCAGCAGUCACACUUAGGGGAUACAUACAGUGGGAAAUGGAAAAAGGGAAGAAAAAUCCAUCUCUCUCCUUCCUACCUCCUCCCCAAUCUGUACCUUGAGUCCAUUCCUUUUCUGUCAGGAAGUGGGCAGCAGGCUAAAUCCCCAGUCUUCUGGAAUCAUGGCUCUGUAGGUGAUGCUCUUUGCAUAAGAAGCAUGAAACACCACCAUCUCAGAAGAAUCAUAAAUGCAAGUGAUCCAAAGGCUGAAGGAGAGAUGCAUGGUGCAGCAGAUGGCAGCAUUUUGAUGAUCCUCUACUUAGAAAGCUCCCAGAAUGCUGGAUUUGGUGUUGGAGGACCUGGAUUAAAAUACAGGUUCAAUGGUGUGAUGUCAGACCAAUCCAGGAAACAUUCCUCCCUGAAGUAG
Molecule: long non-coding RNA, 953 nt
Filed under: Monodelphis domestica (gray short-tailed opossum)
Lineage: Eukaryota; Metazoa; Chordata; Mammalia; Didelphimorphia; Didelphidae
Description: lncRNA (ENSMODG00000036144.2)
Source: RNAcentral